UAAUACGUAGGGGGCGAGCGUUGUCCGAAGUUACUGGGCGUAAAGCGCGCGUAGGCGGCCACUUAAGUCUGGGGUGAAAGGUUCAGCGCUCAACGCGAACAGUGCCUUGGAUACUGGGUGGCUUGAGUCUGGGAGAGGGUAGUGGAAUUCCUGGUGUAGCGGUGAAAUGCGUAGAUAUCAGGAGGAACACCGGUGGCGAAGGCGGCUACCUGGCCUAAGACUGACGCUGAGGUGCGAAAGCGUGGGGAGCGAACGGGAUUAGAUACCCCGGUAGUCCACGCCGUAAACGAUGAGUGCUAGGUGUUCGGGGUAUCGACCCCCCGGGUGCCGCCGCUAACGCAGUAAGCACUCCGCCUGGGGAGUACGGCCGCAAGGUUG
RNAcentral lists this ribosomal RNA (378 nucleotides) under uncultured bacterium. Its description in RNAcentral is "bacterial SSU rRNA". It matches the Rfam family "Bacterial small subunit ribosomal RNA", at positions 521 to 896 of the family's 1533-position model. The record is from RNAcentral.